This is an RNA transcript of Pistacia vera, 1371 nucleotides long. It is a transcript of the gene named peptide deformylase 1B, chloroplastic/mitochondrial, with no coding region annotated. The record is from RefSeq and is a predicted model, not a curated record. NCBI's taxonomy places the organism in Eukaryota, Viridiplantae, Streptophyta, Magnoliopsida, Sapindales, Anacardiaceae. The transcript is spliced from 8 exons.
AUUUUUCAACUUGUUUCCUUUCAUCCAUGACACACAGAAUUAGCAAUGGCUUGUUCGGCUUGGCUUCACUCGUCUUCUUUAUCACACACUCUGCUUCCAGUUCUCUGCCGCCAAACUACUAUCUCCACUAUUUUCUUGCGGUUCAACCGCCUCUCCUCCGCUGCUCGCUUCUUCUCCUCAAUUGGCCGGACCAACGCUCUGGUUUUCGCCCUGGCCAAGCGCCGUGAUGGUUCCUUGUCGCUCAAAGAAGACCUAGUCGCUUCUCCGGCUGAUCUUCAUUUUGAACCGCCACUAAAAAUUGUGGAGUAUCCGGACCCGAUAUUGAGGGCGAGAAACAAAAGAAUUGUCACGUUUGACGAUAAUUUGAAGAAAUUAGUCGAUGAGAUGUUCGACGUUAUGUAUAAAACUGAUGGCAUAGGGCUCUCAGCACCCCAAGUAGGAAUGAAUGUACAACUUAUGGUGUUUAAUCCAGUUGGUGAGUGUGGUGAAGGACAGGAAAUUGUCCUCAUUAAUCCAAGAGUUAACAAGUAUUCAAAGAAAAAGGUGCUUUUUAAUGAAGGUUGCCUAUCUUUUCCUGGAAUCUGUGCCGAUGUUCAGAGACCAGAAUCUGUAAAGAUUGAUGCUCGGGACAUUAAUGGUACUAGGUUUUCAUUCAAUUUGUCUGGUCUUCCUGCACGGGUAUUCCAGCAUGAGUUUGACCAUUUGGAGGGGAUAUUGUUCUUUGAUAGAAUGACUGAAGAAGUUCUUGACAGUAUUUGUAUCCAGUUACAGGCCUUAGAAAAGAAAUAUGAAGAUAAGACUGGAUUCCCAACCCCUGAAAGGGUAGAAGCACGUAGGAGGAGGAAAGCUGCAGUCGGUUUUGGAAAAUCAUAAAUAUACAAUGGGCUUCCGCAAAUAAAUCAGGCUUCAUAUAAAUUGUAAACUGAUAAUUUUUAUUCAUUGUCACCUGAAUUAAUAUUUAAACUUUGUUCUUAUUUUGUUGUGUUAUGUUGAAUAGGAUAGGUGAGCUUAGGCAUGAUGCUGAACAUGUAACAUUCAAGAACUUGCUGAGCAGAAGCGUGUAGUGAACACAUUAACAACGAAUAACAGGCCAUCAGUGUGUUGCAAACCUUCGAUUGUUUUUGGUGGACACAUGUAUUCUUCUAUGCAUUUUUCCGGUGCUUUGCAACAUUGGAGGCACUAGUGAUAUAAAUGGCUUUUCUUCACUUCAGCUGAGGCAGAGCACGAAAUCUUCCCUACACCACAGUAAAGCUAGUCUGAUUCUAGCAAGAGUCACUGUUGUAAGGAACACUGGAUUUUGAGGGUUUGCCAGUUUGCAAACAGGUAAUUGGAGGUACAGUGCUUGUUUUCAGUUCUCCAUAUGUUUCCCAA